UACAGAGACCUCAAGCAUUAUCCGGAUUUAUUGGGCGUAAAGGGUCCGCAGGUGGCAUGGCGCGUCAACGGUUAAAUCUAUGGGCUCAACCCAUAAACCGCCGUUGAAACGGCCAAGCUAGAGGGUGGGAGAGGUAAGCGGAAUUGCCGGUGUAGUAGUAAAAUGCGUUAAUAUCGGCAAGAACACCAAAUGCGAAGGCAGCUUACUGGAACACUUCUGACACUCAGGGACGAAAGCGUGGGUAGCGAAAGGG
This 253-nucleotide ribosomal RNA is filed under the name uncultured bacterium. RNAcentral's name for it is "partial 16S ribosomal RNA". It matches the Rfam family "Bacterial small subunit ribosomal RNA", at positions 524 to 776 of the family's 1533-position model. The record is from RNAcentral.